This is a long non-coding RNA of Acanthopagrus latus (yellowfin seabream), 1987 nucleotides long. RefSeq lists it as uncharacterized. NCBI's taxonomy places the organism in Eukaryota, Metazoa, Chordata, Actinopteri, Spariformes, Sparidae. The transcript is spliced from 2 exons. The record is from RefSeq and is a predicted model, not a curated record.
CUAAUAAUUUUUUCCAUGACUGUAUAUACAUACAUAUAUACGUACAUAUAUAUAUAUACACACAUACACAUGUAUACAUAUAUAGACAUAUGUAUUUGUUUCUGUCCUCCUAUAUGACAGUUAACUUUACUUGUGCGCCAAACAAGACCUUUGUGGGUGUCAUUUAGGCCUUUGAGCGACAUAACUGACAUUUUUCACCAUUUUCUGACAUUUAAAAAAACAAACAACCAAUCAAUUAGAAACAGCUAAGCAUCUGUUGUUAAAAAUGACAUGAUUGAAUGAUUUGAUGGAAAGUUUAAGAAUAAUGUGUAAGCCAGAACAGAAUGGAACUGAAUCCCUCUUACUAAACUACAAAAACCACAAGUGCAAGAAAACAAUACACAUUUGACAGAAUCAGUCUGACAUAAUAUUAAUCAUGAGUUUGUAGAAAAAUGUGGCCGCAGUCAAACAACAGUGUCACUGUUGUUGCCAGCUGACAGGAUUAGCUAAAGAACAGGGCUGACGAAGCCAGAGUCCAGCAUGGCAAAGCUUUUCUUAUUCAGCCACACUGUAAAGUUACUGUGUCCGUGAGAUUACUGACCAGCUCCUACUUAAGCAAUAUUACCCAAGAGGGUGUGCAAAAUUAGUCCCGUCAGUAGACUCAUAUGUGUGAUGGAACGUAGUUUACCACUCCAGCAAAUAAUCCUACCCUUAGUAACGACCUAGCAACUGAAAGGAUUUUCUAGUCCGAUGAGUGAACUCUGAGCUGACCAAUGUUUUAUCGCGGUUUCGGAAUUUCCCGAACUACCCUAAAAUACCAAAUAAAAGCUGGGGCGUUUAUUUGUUUCAGUCACUUAACAGACCAGGUGGCAAUUUGGGACAGGCGUUUAAUUAAUUCCUCUCAAAAAUCCGGGAUGAAAAUGUCACAAACUCCUCCAACUUUUCGGUGAAUUCUCUGGCAUCCUGCUGGGCAAUUCGUAAGGCUUCCGCAAGUGAAGUUGUUGCGGCGGAGGAAACGCUGCAGCCAACCACCACUCCCGGCAAACUCCUCAUCGCUGCUGUCACUCACGGUGGCGUACAUUUGUUUCGCUAUCACCCUGAUUAUUUUGUGGGACACUCUCUCGUGGCCUGCCCGUUUGCUGAUCACCCAUCCCCGCAUGUUUAUCUCAGGCUCCUUGCUAGCCUUCUUCCUCUCUCCACCAGGCAGCCUGGCCCUGUUGUUCUCCUCCUCGGACAGCUCCGUUUUAUUUUUUCGCAGCUCAACAGACAGCCAUUAGAAGACUAGUGUGGAGUGACACUUGGCAUACUAACGCGUCACGAUGGGGGAGGCUUCAAAACUCCACUGUUAAUGGGUAUGAGAAACUUCUCACAAUGAACAGUGACAGCAGCAAAGCUAACUGACCUGUUACCCUUUAACAUGCCUGUGUGCCACAGUGUGAUUCGCAUCGCACAACACUGGCUGUUCUAGGUAAUGAAUAUGAACCACUUCACUUUAUAUUUCGACAGCAAAUGUAUGCAGCUAGACAACGACACGUUUAUGUACGCAACAGCCAACACACGAUGAACUUAUAUACGGAGUGUUGAUGUAGACCAGUCGUGGCCUGCGCACUAAAGCUAGAGGCGGACCGUGAUGCGCCCCCGUGGCUGACGGCGCCCCUAGCAUUUGCCUAUACUGCCUAUGCCCAGGCCCGGCUCUGCUGAUGGAUUGCAUACAACACCAACACCUGAUGAAUACAGGAGAAAUUGUGGCUAUACUGGGGUAAUAAACAUUUAUUGAACAUGUAACAUAAUUAUUGUCAGACAAUGAAAUGGCAUUGGGAUGUGUGGGGUGCCUCUGUAGAAAUCAAGGGUUUCUUGACACCGCUGUUAGGAAACUGGAAGGUCCUGCUUCAUUCAUGUGGCACAAGUCCACGAGGACAAACAGAAUGAAACAGAUUGCCGUGCUGAAAUUCAAUCCAGCAUAGCAAUAAAGAUGUAAAUGCAAAAAGAGAACAAAAAGACAUCUUUG